AACAACAGAAUCUGGGUACGUCUGUGUGAAGAGGUGUGGCUUUAGUGUGGAUUUGAAUAGUACACAAGUAGGCCUACGCUAUUUUUGCACUGUAAAACUUUUUUUUAAGUGUUAUGUUUUCCCAGAUUCAUAGUGUUAUGCAGCCCAGGCCUAUCUAGGAAGGCUGGGCAUAAAUUGUUUGCUCACAGCAUCACAUGAUGACGUGGGCAACAUAAACACUUAAACUCUGUAGAUUAACGUUAAUAGUAAUUAAAACUAAUUUCACCACGAAAGGAAGUGCAAUCGAAAUGAAUGAAGAAGACAAGGUAAUUCUAGUGAGUUAAUAAAAUGACAAGGUGUUGCCUGUGAGCGUUGUAGACUACUGCCUCACAAGCCCGGGCUUUAGUGGCACUGGCAUACGCGCUUGCCUCUGCACUGAAGGAGCCACCGAACGCGUCCGCGUUGCAGAUCUCACUUUCUCCCGCUACAGUAUGUCCUACAAUUACAUAUUUGGUGGGGAUUGGCAGCCAACUAUAGGAUUGGAUUGGGACUAAAUCAAAGAAUAAAACGAUAUUAAAAUGAAUAGUAUUAACAAAUAUUUCCCAGAAGAUUUUGGGUUCAACCUAAGGCUGACUAAGACAGAUCAAUCAACUUGAUCCGACACAGUAAGCCUACAUGUCAUACGUAAGUAAAUCCACAAGAGAGACAAUAUUGCAAAGGCAGGACCAUGUUCGAUGGAAGGCGUAGGGGUAGGCAAUCGAAAACGUUUGACGGGGAAAUUUCUGUCAAUAUUAGCUAGUCCUACUGAGUGGGCAAGUAACCUUUCCCGCGCUCUUCCUAAAAAAUACUAUUUGUGAUGUCAUAAAGGUCUAACGUUCCAUGACGUAGCAUGUAGCCCUAAAUUACAGUCCCUGCUUGCAAUAUUGUCCUCACUCUCGACCUGAACUCAACUUGAAUGUAACCAACACAGACAAGGACAUGCUUUUUGAGAUAUAAAAUAGCUUGAAUGGAUGAAGAAAAGGUAAGCUAAAUUACUUCAUACAAUAUUGGGGGAAAUUUACCAUUCUUUAUAAAGUCACCAGCUUAGCUCUGAUAUGGCUGUAGCUCUAUUUAUGAUGUCCUCUGCACAGAUCUACUCUGACAUUGACAUAUUAUUACUUAUUGGAAUGUCUGUCCUUCAGGUAGCACAGAGGGAGGAUGGUGAUCCUCAGAGGGAAGGAAAGGAAGUUGUUGAGGAAGAACCGGUGGCCACGCCCAAAGAGGAGGCCAAGAAGGGAAGGAAGGCAAAAAGUAAGAGGAGUGGCAAGAAGUCAAGGAAGCUGGGCACUGACAACGAUGCAGUCUCCAGGAAUAAACACCUGG
Oncorhynchus mykiss (rainbow trout) is the source of this 1341-nucleotide non-coding RNA. The record is from RefSeq and is a predicted model, not a curated record. NCBI's taxonomy places the organism in Eukaryota, Metazoa, Chordata, Actinopteri, Salmoniformes, Salmonidae.